Molecule: small nuclear RNA, 107 nt
Organism: Vulpes vulpes (red fox)
Lineage: Eukaryota; Metazoa; Chordata; Mammalia; Carnivora; Canidae
Source: Ensembl
GUGCUCACUUUGGAAGCACACAUACUAAAACUAGAACGAUACAGAGAGAAUUAGCAUGGCCUCUGCACAAGGAUGAGAAGAAAAUUCGUGAAAUGUUCCAUAUUUUU